UUGCCUCGGCGGUGCCUGUUCCGACAGCCCGCCAGAGGACCCCAAACCCUGAUUACAUUUAAGAAGUCUUCUGAGUAAACCGAUUAAAUAAAUCAAAACUUUCAACAACGGAUCUCUUGGUUCUGGCAUCGAUGAAGAACGCAGCGAAAUGCGAUAAGUAAUGUGAAUUGCAGAAUUCAGUGAAUCAUCGAAUCUUUGAACGCACAUUGCGCCCGCUAGUAUUCUGGCGGGCAUGCCUGUCCGAGCGUCAUUUCAACCCUCAAGCCCCCGGGCUUGGUGUUGGGGAUCGGCGAGCCUCCGCGCCCGCCGUCCCCUAAAUCUAGUGGCGGUCUCGCUGUAGCUUCCUCUGCGUAGUAGCACACCUCGCACUGGGAAACAGCGCGGCCACGCCGUUAAACCCCCAACUUCUGAACGUUUGACCUCGGAUCAGGUAGGAAUACCCGCUGAACUUAAGCAUAUCAAUAAGCG
This 468-nucleotide ribosomal RNA is filed under the name Ilyonectria destructans. RNAcentral's name for it is "eukaryotic LSU rRNA". The stretch from base 97 to 250 matches the Rfam family "5.8S ribosomal RNA". Lineage: Eukaryota; Fungi; Ascomycota; Sordariomycetes; Hypocreales; Nectriaceae. The record is from RNAcentral.